RNAcentral lists this non-coding RNA (148 nucleotides) under Pan troglodytes (chimpanzee). Lineage: Eukaryota; Metazoa; Chordata; Mammalia; Primates; Hominidae. The record is from Rfam by way of RNAcentral.
GCUGGGCGUGGUGGCGCACACCUGUAGUCCCAGCUACUUGGGAGGCUGAGGCAUGAGAAUCACUUGAGCCCCAGAGGUGGAGGUAGCAGAGAGCCGAGAUCACGCCACUGCACUCCAGCUUGGGCUACAGAGUGAUAUCCUGUCUCAA